RNAcentral lists this transfer RNA (72 nucleotides) under Solirubrobacter ginsenosidimutans. RNAcentral describes it as "Solirubrobacter sp. BXN5-15 tRNA". It matches the Rfam family "tRNA". Rfam says of the family: Transfer RNA (tRNA) molecules are approximately 80 nucleotides in length. Their secondary structure includes four short double-helical elements and three loops (D, anti-codon, and T loops). The record is from Rfam by way of RNAcentral. RNAcentral also lists the same sequence under 2 other names. Lineage: Bacteria; Bacillati; Actinomycetota; Thermoleophilia; Solirubrobacterales; Solirubrobacteraceae.
GCCGCCGUAGCUCAGCGGUAGAGCAACGGACUUUUAAUCCGAUGUGCGCAGGUUCGAUCCCUGCCGGCGGCA